AUUUAGCUGACGAGUCUCAAAUAGGAUGAAACACGCAUCCUGGAU
This 45-nucleotide non-coding RNA is filed under the name Schistosoma curassoni. The record is from RNAcentral. Lineage: Eukaryota; Metazoa; Platyhelminthes; Trematoda; Strigeidida; Schistosomatidae.